This 69-nucleotide transfer RNA is filed under the name Mytilus californianus (California mussel). RNAcentral describes it as "tRNA-Ile". The record is from RNAcentral. Lineage: Eukaryota; Metazoa; Mollusca; Bivalvia; Mytilida; Mytilidae.
AGCGCUACGUGGGGAAAGAUCCAGCUGCUUUGAUGAAGCAGAGCUUAAAGAGUAAUUCUUUUAGCGCCA